GGGCAGGGGAGGGAGAGGGGAAUGACAAGGGGCAGGGGAGGGAGAGGGGAAUGACAGGGGGCAGGAGAGGCACAGGGGAAUGACAGGGGGCAGGGGAGGGAGAGGGAAUGACAGGUGGCAGGGGAGGGACAGGGAAUGACAGGGGCAGGGGAGGGAGAGGGGAAUGACAGGUGGGCAGGGGAGGGAGAGGGGAAUGACAGAUGGGCAGGGGAGGGAGAGGGGAAUGAUAGGGGGCAGGGGAGGGAGAGGGGAAUGACAGGUGGGCAGGGGAGGGAGAGGGGAAUGACAGGGGGCAGGGGAGGAAGAGGGGAAUGACAGGGGGCAGGGGGGGCAGGGGGAGGGAGAAGGGAAUGACAGGUGGGCAGGAGAGGGAGAGGGGAAUGACAGGGGGCAGGGGAGGGAGAGGGGAAUGACAGGUGGUCAGGAGAGGGAGAGGGGAAUGACAGGUGGGCAGGAGAGGGAGAGGAGAGGGAGAGAGGAAUGACAGGGGGCAGGGGAGGGAGAGGGGAAUGACAGGGGAGGGGGGCAGGGGGAGGGAGAGGGGAAUGACAGGGGGCAGGGGAGGGAGAGGGGAAUGACAGGUGG
Molecule: long non-coding RNA, 585 nt
Organism: Oncorhynchus tshawytscha (Chinook salmon)
Lineage: Eukaryota; Metazoa; Chordata; Actinopteri; Salmoniformes; Salmonidae
Source: Ensembl